This is a non-coding RNA of Acanthosepion pharaonis, 98 nucleotides long. The record is from the annotation of a GenBank genome assembly. Lineage: Eukaryota; Metazoa; Mollusca; Cephalopoda; Sepiida; Sepiidae.
GUUGAAACACCUGUUCUCGUACGAUCAUCGCAGUUAAGCAACGUGAAGCCUGGUCAGUACCUCGACGAGUGUCCGCUUGAGAAUAACAGGCGCUGUAA